AGAGCUGAUCAAGGGAACCUCAACAAACAACCCCAGCCAUGGAGGCGGCGGUGUCUUUGAAGACCCCAUGAGAGCAUCAAACAAGGGAGAGAGCCUGGAACAAAUCAUGGUAGUAAAAUGGCGGCAGAGAGCUAGUAAUGUGUCUGCAAUUGGUGGGUUCUUGGUCGCACUGACUUCAAGAAUGAAGCCGCGGACCCUCACGGUGAGUGUUACAAUUCUUAAAAGUGGCGUGUCCGGAAUUUGUUCCUUCUGAUGUUCGGAGUUUCUUCCUUCUGGUGGGUUCGUGGUCUCGCUGGCUCAGGAGUGAAGCUGCAGACCUUCGCAGUGAGCGUUACAGCUCUUAAGGUGGUGUUUCUGGAGUUGUUCGUUCCUUCCGGUGGCUUCAUAGUCUCGCUGGCUCAGGAGUGAAGCUGCAGACCUUCGCAGUGAGCGUUACAGCUCUUAAGGUGGUGUUUCUGGAGUUGUUCGUUCCUUCCGGUGGCUUCAUAGUCUCGCUGGCUUCAGGAGUGAAGCUGCAGACCUUCCUGGUGAGUGUUACAGCUCUUAAGGCGGUGCGUCUGGAGUUGUUCGUUUCUCCCGGUGGGUUCGUGGUCUCGCUGGCUUUAAGAGUGAAGCUGCAGACCUUCACGGUGAAUGUUACAGCUCAUAAAGGCAGUGUGGACCUAAAGAGUGAGCAGCAGCAAGAUUUAUUGCAAAGAGAGGAAGAAUAAGGCUUCCACAGUGUGCAAGGGGACCCCAACAGGUUGCCACCGCUGGCUUGGGCAGCCUGCUUUUAUUGUCUUAUCUGGCCCCACUGACAUCCUGCUGAUUGGUCCAUUUUACAGAGAGCCGAGUGGUCUGUUUUGACAGGGUGCUGAUUGGUGCGUUUACAAUCCCUGAGCUAGACACAAAGGUUCUCCACCUCCCCACCAGAGUAGCUAGAUACAGAAUGUUGAUUGGUGCAUUCACGAACCCUGAGCUAGACAGAGGGUGCUGAUUGGUGUGUCUACAAACCUUGAGCUAGAUACAGAGUGCCGAUUGGUGUAUUUACAAUCCCUUAGCUAGACAUAAGGGUUCUCCAAGUCCCCACCAGAGUAGCUAGAUACAGUGUCGAUUGGUGCAUUCACAAACCGUGAGCUAGACAGAGGGUGCUGAUUGGUGUGUUUACAAACCUUGAGCUAGAUACAGAGUGCUGAUUGGUGUAUUUACAAUCCCUUAGCUAGACAUAAACGUUCUCCAAGUCCCCACCACACUCAGGAGCCCAGCUGGCUUCACCCAGUGGAUCAUGCACCCAGGCCACAGGUGGAGCUGCCUGCCAGUCCCACGCUGUGCGCCUGCACUCCUCAGCCCUUGGGUGGUCGAUGGGACUGGGCACCGUAGAGCAGUGGGCGGCGCUCGUCGGAGAGGCUCUGGCCGCGCAGGAGCCCAUGGAGGCCGGUGGGGGAGGCUCAGGCAUGGCGGGCUGCAGGUCCCCAGCCCUGCCCGGCGGGAAGGCAGCUAAGGCCCGGGGAGAAAUUGACCACAGCAGCUGCUGGCCCAGAUGCUAAGCCCCUCACUGCCCGGGGCCGCAGCCGCUCCGAGUGCCGGGCCCGCCAAGCCCACACCCACCCGGAACUGGCACUGGCCCUGGCCCACAAGCACAGUGCGCAGCCCCGGUUCCUGCCCCUGCCUCUCCCUCCUCACCUCCCCGCAAGCUUAGGGAGCCGGCUCCGGCCUUGGCCAGCCCAGAAAGGGGCUCCCACAGUGCAGCGGUGGGCUGAAGGGCUCCUCAAGUGCCGCCAAAGUGGGAGCCCAGGCAGAGGAGGUGCGGAGAGCGAGCCAGGGCUGUGAGGACUGCCAGCACGCUGUCACCUUUCAGUAGGUGGACGACAAGAAAAGAUGUCUCCCGCCCCUCUUUACCUGGCUUCCUGGCUGCAGAAGGCCCCACACAGGUGAAGGGAGAAGCUUCAACUUGAAAUCUGGUUUUAAGAAUUGAUUAUGGGCCAGGAGCUGUGGCUCACCCCUGUAAUCCCAGCACUUUGGGAGGCCGAAGUGGGCGGAUCAAGAGGUCAGGAGAUUGAGACCAUCCUGGCCAACUUGGUGAAACCCUGUCUCUACUAAAAAUACAAACAAUUAGCCGGGCGUGGUGGCAGGCGCCUGUAGUCCCAGCUACUCGGGAGGCUGAGGCAGGAGAAUUGCUUGAACCCGGGACGCGGAGGUUGCAGUGAGCCGAGAUAGCGCCACUGCACUCCAGCCUGGGCGACGGAGCGAGACUUCAUCUAAAAAAAAAAAAAUUGAUUAUGACACAAAACUAGAUAUUCUAACUUCUCAGUUGAGACUGUUGGAGACUUAGAGUGACUAUAGGACUUUUUAUUACUUAAGAGUGAUUAAAACGAGUUGUAAGAUUAUGGAGAUUUUCAUUCUGGAGCAAGAGAAGAACUUUUCCCCUAUUGAGUAAUCUGAAAAGGACAGCGGGAAUCAAAAACAAGGUUGCUUUCUCCUUUGAAUAUAUUGUUUUCUUCUUCAAAUCUAAAAAUCUGUUGAUUUCAUGUUUUCCCUUUUAUUUCUCUAACCCACUGAAAUGUGAUUGCUUCUGGUAUCCCUAAGUUUAUCAAGCAUACUACUAAACCAGCAUUUGGGACAUUAAGAACACUGGACACUCCAACUAACCAGGGGCUGAAUCCUACUGACUGCACUCGCUAUGUUUUGUCCAGGUGGCACGGUGCCUGGGAAGCAACUGCAGGGCUGUUCCUCCAGCAGUUUAUGAACUCAAGAAGUAAAAUGAGAGGAGAACCCAGGGGGCACCAGGCUGCUGCCUCUUGGUUUUGGUUCAAAAAAAAAGAAAAGAAGAACAAUGAUAAAUGUAUUACAGUCAGUAACCGUUUCUGAUUUACACUCAAGGUGGUCUUGCUAUGAUCUCAAAGCGCUCUUCCAGCAAACAGCACUGCUAUUAAAACCUGUUGGUGAUACAAAUUGUUUAAGAAUAAAAAUCGGCUGGGUGUGGUGGCUCACACUUGUAAUCCUAGCACUUUGGGAUGCUGAGGCGGGUGGAUCACCUGAGGUCAGGCGUUCAAGACCAGCCUGGCCAAGAUUGUGAAACACCUUCUCUACUAAAAAUACAAAAAUACAAAAAUUAGCCAGGCAUGGUGACGGGCACCUGUAAUCCCAGCUACUCGGGAGGCUGAGGCAAAGAAUUGCUUGAACCUGGGAGGCGGAGUUUGCAGUGAGCUGAGAUUGCACCACUGCACUCCAGCCUGGGCGACAGAGCAAGACUCUGUCUCAAAAAAAAAAAGAAUAAAAAUUAAAAACACACACAAGAAAACAAAGUAAAACUUGUUGGUGAGUAAACCGAAUGAAAUAUGUUAAAUCUCUGUCCAAUCCUGUCCAAAGUCAGGCAGAGGAGGCCAACUUGAGUACUUAUCACCAUCUCCCAGCACCUUUUGUUGUUUGAUUAGAAUAGAUUCCCUCUGUAAGACAUUAAUGAUUUCCAAGGCUGCUUUAAGAAGUUUCUUUGUUAUACGGGAAGUGAUUGAGAACUGGCAAUCAUGAAUCUGGCUGUCUCUGCUCAGGAGCUUAAAGACUGUUCUGAUGACGAUAAUUACAUUUUUAUGAAUAUCCUGCCUAGAGAGUAACAAUUUUACUAUGUCAAACCGCACCACACAAAGAUGCAUCAAUUUCAUCUGCAAUGAAAAAUAGAGCCUAAUAGUACAGUUAUAUUUAUAUGAUAGUCAAACAUCAAGAUGUAACGUAAGUGCUUCAACUAAAAGAAUUCCGAUCAUUAUUUAACCUUGAGAUGAUUAAGGUGAAAGCUUGUCAGCUUCCAUGAAUUACUUUUUUCAUGAUUUUUGCUGUUUUGGUUUGAUUUUUAAAAAUCCAUAAUUAACAUUUAUUAACAUUUGGAUUCUACUCCAACCUCCAUGAUGUGUGGGCAAGGGAAAAACAACAACAAAAAAGAUCCAUAGAUAUGAUUAAUGGUCAAAGAGAGAGUAUUAGGUAAUUAUAAGUCAUAAUUAUGUUCUUGGUAAAAUACCAUACUAACUGGUUUUCUCCUUUCUCCUUUUCUCUGCUAAGUUUCUUCAACUAUAAUGCAAAUUAUGGACAAUGUAUUUAGGUUAGAUGCUAUACAUACAUAUUAAUUUAAUACAAAGAAAACUGUUUCAUUGUGAUUGUGCACCAGAGCUAUGCCAAGUGUGGUCUGAGAACCAGCAACAUUAAGCAUUACUCAAAAACCUGUUGGAAAUGCAAAUUCUCAGGCGUUACCCCAGAUCUCUUGAAUCCGAAUCUGUAGCAGUGGGCACAGGCCCCCGGGACUCUGUGUUAACAAGCCUUCCAGGAGGUGCGAUGAGGUGUGAGAAUCACUGCUCCAGCAUCUUGUAACUCAUUCUCCCCUGGCUAAAGUGAAACAUAGGUAAGUGUGGAGGCUGCAAUCCCAGCAACGCUGUACGUGUUCCCUGUUAGCUGGAGGAGGGGGCAUGUGUUCCUAGAAAGGGGGCCCAAGCGAACAGCCUGUUUUGGCCACGUCUCUUGAGUCCAGGUUCCUCUCCAUUGGGUUUUCUCUUCUCUUUAAAUCUCCUGAGGUCCCAGUGUGCCCCAGGCCAUAGUUUCUUCCCAUUACCAGUCAUAGUUGUUGUUUAACCUCUGUGGUAGGAGGGGUGUUUAUGAUACUCCUCAUCAUGUGAGGACUUCCACCACUCUGAAGCACCCUGUUGGUGCUUCCCCUCUAUCACUGAGACUUCAUUUCCUUGACAUCAUCUUGAGCUGCUUAAACAUUUUUCUUUUUCCCAGACGGAGUCUUGCUGUUUUGCCCAGGCUGGAGUGCAGUGACAUGAUUUCAGCUCACUGCAACCUCCGCCUCCUGGGUUCAAGGAAUUAUCCUGCCUCAACCUCCCGAGUAGCUGAGAUUACAGGUGCCCGCCACCACACCCGGGUAAUUUUUAUAUUUUUAGUAGAGACAAGGUUUCACCAUGUUGGCCAGGCUGGUCUUGAACUCCUGACCUCGUGAUCUGCCCACCUUGGCCUCCCAAAGUGUGCUUAAACAUUUUUAACAUCCGCCGUGAUACUCUUCUAUUUUUCUUUAUGGCAGAAGUAACACUAUUUACCUUUUGACAGCACAAUGGACCAAAAUUGUUUACCAGAACUCACCAGAAAGUGGCAUGGAGAGGGGCCACACAUUGCCAACACACUGAAAGAAACGCAGUAGAACACACACUCAGUACAGAGUGCUGAUGCUCCCUGGCCGGGACCGCACAGUGCUGUUACCGUAGGAGUUUUCUUUGGCAGAGAGGAUAGGGUAGCACGUAGCAUGAGGGAAAAGUGUCAUCAGAAUUUGGUGACAGAUAGAUAGACAGAUAUAGAGAUAUUUUUUAUUGUGGUAAGAACAUAACAAAACUCACCAUCUUAAAUAUUUGUAAGUGUAUGGUGAAUAGUGUUAAGUAUAUUCACACCGUUGUGAAACAGAUCUCCAAACUUUUUAAUCUUGUAAAACUGACACUCUAUACCUUUUAAACAACUCCCACUUCCCCCCUACCCUUAGCCCCUGGCAACCACCAUUUUACUUUCUGUUUCUAUGAAUUCGAUUACUUUAGAUAGCUCAUAAAAAUGAAAUCAUCCAGGCAGGUGCAGUGGCUCACACCUGUAAUCCUAGCACUUUGGGAGGCCGAGGCAGGAGGAUUGCUUGAGCCCAGGAGUUUGAGACCAGCUGGGCAACACAGUGAGAUCCCCAUCUCUGUUAUUAAAAAAAAAAAAGAAUCACUCAGUAUUUGUCUUUUCUUGAAUGGCUUAUUUCACUUAGCAUAAUGUCCUCAAGGUUUACCUAAUAGAAACAUUUUUGAAGGAACGCAUAUUCGAGACAAUAGCAUUCUAAUGAAUCAGCACACAUGGGACAGUGUUAAAUGAAGUGAAUCAGUAUGACAAAAAGUGAACACCAUCUUGGUGAUUUAAUCUUCGUAUUAUUUCAUAUAUUCUUUUUUGUUUUAAUUUAUGCAGGCUUGGCUGGGUUUGGUGGGUCAUGCCUGUAAUCCCACCACUUUGAGAGGCCAAGGCGGGUGGAUCAUUUGAGGUCAGGAGUUCCAGCCCAGCCUGCCCAACAUGGUGAAACCCUGCUUCUACUAAAAAUACAAAAAUUAGCCAGGUGUGGUGGCAUGUACCUGUAAUCUCAGCUACUCAGGAGGAUGAGGCAGGAGAAUUGCUUGAACCCAGCAGGCGGAGGUUGCAGUGAUCCCAGAUUGCAUCACUGCACUCCAGCCUGGGCGACACAGAGAGACUUUGUCUCAAAAAUAAAUAAAUAAAUAAAAAUAAAAAUGAAAUGGAUGCAGGCUCCAUCGUCUAUGGAGAUGGACUCAUCCACAUUAUUUCAUAUAUGCUAUAUAUUUUAAUACUUUUUUUGUUUUAUUUUUUAGUCCAGGUUCCAGGCUUAUGAAUACAUUGUUUUAGAGGCCCAGUGCAAGGGCAAAAUCUUUAGAGUGGUGCUUCUGAAAUCUGAGUGUGAAUCAGAAUGACCUUGAAAUUUGUUAAAAAUACAAAUUCCCUGGGUUCCAAGAGAUUCUAAUUUUGGUAGGUCUGAGGUGGAGCCCAGGAAUCAGCAUUUAACAAGCACUCCAGGUGAUUCUUUCCUUCUGAGAGACACUGCAAGUCUAAAUCAGCAGGGUAGAGCAGUGCCUUUGAGGGUGAAGCAGUGAGGCUCAACCCCUUUCACAGGUGUUGUACCUUCUUUGGAUCCUCCUGAUGCAUUGUAUCUGGACUUUGAAUAACAAUUAAUGUACUCUGCCUAGUUCUAGAGUUUCUCAUGUCCUUGCCUCAGCCCCGCCCAAAGACCACAGGCUUCCUGAGACACAGGCAUUUUGCAGUAUUGACCUGCAUAUCCUCAGCUGGGUUUACCUCACGCCGUCUCUGUUGUGAGAAGAUGCGCGAUAAUAUUUGUCAAAUGAAUGAAGACAAUAAGGACAGAAAUCCAAUGAAAAGAAUGUGACUGAAAGAGUCAGAGAGGAAUUUAGUCUUGGCCUGUGAGCCCAACAGCUGUGAGGCCUUAAGUUACUUCCUCUCUCAGGCCUUAGCCCUGUACCUGUGACAUGGGGAUCAGUUUCUUCCUCCUUCCUCUUUCUGAGGGCUGCUGUGGGGUACAAAUGACAUAAGGUAUGUAAAAAUGCCUGAAAACUGUGGAGCCACUCUUUUCAAUUUUGUUGAAUAUGAUUGUCUUUUUGCUUUACUGAGUGUUAGGUAGUAUGAUGAGGCAAAGAACACAAGGUUUACUUCUGGCUAUUACCGAAAAGCGAAUCCUAUUAUUUGGUAUUUAAAAGAGCCACAUGGCUUUUCCAACUCCAAGGAGAGUGACAAAGAAAUUUAGUACUAUAAAUUUAUGAUAGGAAUGGUAGAAAUAUCCUAUAAAUAAUGAACAGUACAAAGGAAGGGAGAUUCAUAGGAAAGCAAAUUAACUAGGCACACUGCAGUUUGAUUCUGACAUGGGGAUUUCCCGUAACCUGUAACUGCUUAAUGAAAUGACUUCUGGCUUCUCUGAGAUCACCUUAAAAGGUAGCAGGUAUCUGAUAAGAUGAGCUGAAAAGCAAAUUUAUAUAAUAUCCUUUUUAAAACUUCAAGGCAGGGAUUAUAACCACCCCCUAAACUGCAAAGAACCAAAAGAAGUUGGAUCACAUCCAAGAAGCAAUGUGUCCCAGGUGGUAAACGCAGAGCCAGUCCACAGUCCAAUGAGGAAAGUGAGGACAACGGAGCAAGUUUUCCAGGAAGCUAUGUUUAUUCAGUUGAGCCAACUGCCUCAUUCUCAAAUGAGGUCUUCCAUUGUCUUGGCUCACUAAGGUUCUUACUUAUAGGAAAUAUCGGUAUUUUUUUAAACUGACAAAUGAAAAGUUGACAAUGAUAUUACUCCCCAUUCAAAUUUGAUCAGGCAGCUUUGAGUUUGAAUUCUCAAUCCACUUAAGGCAAGUGGCUUGAGGCAAAUUUCUAAUCCACUCAGGCUUUGAUUUCUCUAUGUAUAAUGAUACAAAGAUUGGCAAUAAUAUUUGUAAAAAGCCUAGCUCAAAUUGUAGUAUUGGUGGUGGUUAUAUGAAAAAGAAUGUGUUGUCAUUUAGAUACAUAAAUUAGGCAGUGUCUUCUUUUUAAAAUUUUUUUUAUUGUUUUAAGAGAUGGGGUCUCUGGCACCCAAGCUGGAGUGCAGUGGAAGGAUCAUAGCUCAUUGCAACCUCAAACUCCUGGGCUCAAGUGAUCCUCCUGCCUCAGCCUCCUGAGUAGCUAGGAGUAUAGGCACAUGCCACCAUGCCCGGCUAAUUUUUAAAAUUUAUUUGAGACAGGGUCUGGCUAUGUUGUCGAGGCUGGUCUUGAAUUCCAGGGCUCAAACAAUCCUCCCACCUCAGCCUCCCAAAGUCUUGGGAAUACAGGUGUGAGCCACUGUGCCUGGCCAUGGUAGCUUGUCUUGAUGGUAUAAAAUUACUGUUUUCAUUACUGUGUUAGAUGUUUUUUCAUUUUCCCAUGGUGGCCUCCUUUGGGACUGUCCAUGCUUUUGCUCCAAGAGUAAAUCUCAAAGGAGCAAGCAUGAGUAGGAAUUUUCCUUGCAUGCACACAGCCAGCCAAACAGCCCUAUGUCCGUGAUGAGGUGCAUUCCAGAACCAGUGGUAGGAUGGGGUUGGGUUGUACCUACUAGCUGAAGUUUUUAUUAGAUGUAGAAUUUAAACUCACACUUGGUUCUGGGUCUAGUAUUUAAAAACUUCCUAUUGUAUUAUGUAUAUCUUUGUAUUCCUAGUGCUUAAUAAAUUAUAGUUCCUCAACUACUGUUUGUUGAUGAUUUGAAUAAUGUACAAAUAAAUAUCAGGGAGUACAACAGCUCCAUUAAAUCAUGUGGGUUUUUCCAAUUAUUUGCUGCUAUUUGUUUCUGGAACUGAUCUGAAAUAGAUAGCAUUUUGAUGUGUGACCUUUAACUUACCAAGGCAGACAGAAAACAGGAAAAGGGUGGGAGUCCCUAUGACUAAAACGUUUAUGUUAAGUCCAUGAUGGAUAUUCCAGGUGUUCUGGUAGGCAUCUUCCUGGCCAAAAUUUAAGCUGAAUUUGAGCGCAACGUCUAAUAACGGCUGGACUUGUUUUCCAGGGACCUCAAAGGUAUUUUCUUAGAUAGGUCAUGUUCUGGGGCUUUUGACUCUAAUGCAAUGUGGGCAAUGCAAUGACCAUGUUAUUUUAGAGACAUUUACAGGUCACUCAGGGAGUAUGAAGGAGGCAAACACUUUGGCUCUCUUAUAUCUGUCACUCACAGGAAGCUGGUGGCUUAAAGUUUUUAAGACAUUUGUUUUGGUUGAGUUCUCCACCAGAAGUUGAGCAAGGCAGAAUUGCAAGGGCAGGUCCAGGUUUUGUGAUGUCUGAAGCUUUAGACAAUAUAAGUUGUCCUAUUUAAGAAAGAUAAUAUAAAAUCAUAAAUAAAAAACUAGAUAUGAAAAUGAGUAUGUAACUUGAAGCCCCAGCUAGGCACAGUGUCUCACACCUGUAAUCCUUGCACAUUAGGAGGCUGAGGUGGGAGCCUUGCUCGAGGCCAGGAAUUUGAGACUAGCCUGGGCAAUAUGGCGAGACCACCCCUCUUUACAAAAAAAAAAUUAAAAAUUAGCCAGGCAUGGUUGCGCACCUGUAGUCAGUCCCAGUGACUCAGGAGGCUGAGGCAGGAGGAUUGCUUGAACUCAGGAAUCUGAGGCUGCAGUGAGCUAUGAUAAUGCCACUGCACUCCAGCCUGGGUGACAGAAUGAGACCCUUUAAAAUAAAAAUAAUAAUAAAUAGUUAGAAGCCAACCCCCCCCCCCCCGCCUUGCAACUGGGGGAUCCUACAGCUUGAGCUUAAUUAGCUUCUUAUAAAUGCACCUGUGUAAUAAUGGAAGCAACAUUUUAAGACAAAGGUACUUGUGCUAUAACGUUGAUGAGUGGGACAUUUCUAAACAUUUACCAGUAUGAGAAACACGUACAUGCUAAAUGUAACUCGACAUAGACAUUAAAUGCCAAGUGUUCAGGCUGCAGGGAAGUGAGACUGGGGGAAGACAAAGGAGAAGGGAACUGGUGACUAUUAGGUACCCAGGGAGCCUUCAGUUAGUUGGAAUGUUUAGAAAACUGGGAAUCCUUGAAUUUACCUUCCAAAUUAAUCAAAACCCAAAAGAUAUAACUUAUUGGUCAUCAAAAAUCUUUCCAAAUACUGUUUUUUUCAAGGUUCCUGUAGGUUUAACAAUUUUUAAAAAGCGAGUGUAAUUUACCAUGACAUUGAGAUUAGAAAGAAAGCAAAUAAAUUACUUAAGGGGGUAAGAACCUAUAAAAUAUGUGUCUUCUCCACUAGUAGCAAGCCCUCUAUGGCUUGGGUGACUGAAGUUGCCCCCAUGCCUGUUUGGAAUGGGUGCUGGCCUCCUUACCUGCCACUCAGAGAUCACUUGACCACUACAGUCACGGUGGGGAUACCAGUUAAUAGGUCAUUUGUGGUGAAGCUGGUAAACAGUAAGUGCUCAAUAAAAACUUAUUAAAUGAAUGAAUCAAAUAAAUAAUUCCACUUUGAACAAACGAGGCCAGACUUAAAGCAAUUUUUAUUCCUAAAGAUUCUGCAACUGAAUUUUGUCAAGACUUCUUUAUUUAUUUAUUUAUUUAUUAUUAUUAUACUUUAAGUUUUAGGGUACAUGUGCACAAUGUGCAGGUUAGUUACAUAUGUAUACAUGUGCCAUGCUGGUGUGCUGCACCCACUAACUCGUCAUCUAGCAUUAGGUAUAUCUAAAAAUAUGGAACGCUUCACGAAUUUGCGUGUCAUCCUUGCGCAGGGGCCAUGCUAAUCUUCUCUGUAUCGUUCCAAUUUUAGUAUAUGUGCUGCCGAAGCGAGCACUUGUCAAGACUUCUUUGCGUUUGAGAAUUCUGUCAUGAAUAUGGCCUAGGUUUGAUGGCAAAAUGAUUAAGAAAUGAAAUGGAGUUAAUUUUCAUUGAGUGCCUAACAUAUGCCAGGUAUCUUGCUUGAGUUUUGCAUAUUUACUUAUUUAUUUUAAAAUUUAUUUUUUUUCAAUAAACCACCUACAAAGCUUCUGGAUGUGUAUUAUUUAAGCUUUGUAACCAUUUUGCACUUGAGGAAGCUAGAACUCAGACUUAAAUAAUUUGUCUAUGGCCUCACAGGGAGCAAGUGGCAGAGCCAGAAUCCAAACGCAGAUUUGUGAGUGCACGGCUUUUGCUGUGACGCUGUAACCUCUCAUUUGGCCUGUUCUUUCCAGCCAAUGUGAAAGACACAUAAAACAGUGAUAGAGAGAGGGGCAGGAAAGACUAUGAAGAUGGGACAGUACAGUGAGAAGUCACAUCAUUUAGGGCCUUAAAUUGCCCAUCUGUAAGCCCAGACGUUUGGACUGGAUGACCUCUGAGUGGGGUGACCACACGGCCCCAUUUUCCAAGGCAACCCAGACUUAUACCUGCUUUGCCACUGCAACUAUUAGCACCCCUUCCACUCUCAAAAAUGUUCCAUUGUGGAUCAUAAAUUCUAAGGUUGCCCCAUCUGCGAAGUUCUGGCUCUUAAUUUCUGUUAUUUCAUACUGAACCUAAUAAUACUUCUCUGAUGACUGAAGCACGGUAAAAUUUCAUUUUCCAGGCCUGGAGGUACAGGGAGGAUGGUAGGUGAGGUGACCCUUAUGUAGAAGUUGCUUUGCAUUUCUGAUAUGGAUAUUUUUUCAAUCUAGGAGCUAGUGCUCCUUUCCUUUAAAAGUACACUAGUAGAUCCCCUUCUAGUGGAUUUGGCUCCAGUUAAUUUGGGAUCAUUAUAUAAAUAUUUGUUUCCUACUUCACACUAAUAGUGGCUACUCCUUAUUGAGUGCUUACACUAAGGCUAAAUGCUGAGUGCAUUAUCUCAUUUAAUGCAUAUAUUAAUGCUAUAAGAUAGUUCCUCACCUUAUAGAUAAGGAAACAGGUUUAGUGAAGUGACUUGCAAGUAAGACACGGAGCCAGGUCUUCCUAAGCUCUUAGCCAUUCUUCUAUAUUGAGAUCUGUAUGUAUACAUACAGCAGAUAAUUAAGAAAGUUAUCAGACUCCUAAAUUCCCAUUGGCCUUUCCUGUAUUUAUCAGUAUCCAUGCCAGUCUUUGUAAUUUCAUCUUCCAUUGCUUCAGCCAUCCAUCUUUACCUCCUAGUACAAACAUCUGCCUCAAGUAAACAGAUUUUGACUAAGAUGCAGAUUCUCGGAAAAAACGAAGAUGGGAUUAGCAAGUAGGUACAAUGAAUAUUUACUUACUUAUACAAACCUUUUUUUGUUUGUCUUUCUUUUCCACAGUUUAAAACCGAAAACAGACACUUGUUUUUUUGUUUAUAUUUACAUAAACAAUACUUAAAAGAAAAACCACCAGUUGACACCAUAUCAUUCUGCUUUUCUUUAUUGUCUGGCUAACUUACAAAGAUGCAGAUGUCUAGGGUAGUCUCUACCCUACCACUUACACUAUCCUGAUGACACAGAUAGCAAAAUGUGUCUGUUUACAUAGUGCAUGGUAUGAAAAAAAAGUUUUUCUUCCUCUACGGUCCUUGACUAUAAGGAGGGAAAAAUUAAUUUCAUGCCAACAUUUUUGGGGAACUUUAACAAUCAUCCCAUUUCUGCUACUAAAAUAACAAAACUGGUAUUACACUUUAAAAUAUAAAGACCUAACAGUUUUUACAAAUAUGCAAAUAAUCUACUACUUAGACAUAAAAAAAAGUUGAUUUCUUUUAAAUCACAAAGUAAGGCACCAUUGGAUUAAACAUUUCUCCUGGCUUUUACUAAAUAAAAUGCAUAGUGAAAUAAAUACUGAACACUGAGUUUUAAUACUGUAAUACAUUUCAAUAUAAAAUAAGAGGUGAAUGUUAAAAUACUGUAUUACAUGUUGAAUACAUUUAUCUGAAAAUGUUAUAAAAAAACACACAUGUAAGCUCUGAUUUCAGGGAAGAAAAAUUCAUUUUUGUAAUUUUCCAUAGUUUAAGAUUUUACCACAGAACUUAUUCAUAGUUUUAGAUGCAAUUAGGUUGCAAACUUUCAAAGAAAGGGUGUAGGUGUAUUAAUGAAACAGUCACUUAAACACUACAUUCUAAAACAAUCUAUUCUGGAUGAAUGGCAACUUUGAGCUAUCACCCUGUUUCAGAUUUAGAACGGUACCUGCCAAGUUCAGAUAUGCAAAGGAAUUGUCCAAUUCUUACUACCCCUUAUAAAAUUCAGACCCACUUUCUCUGAGUCAGACUUUUCUCCGUCAUAUUUUCUAGGAAGGGCAAAUUCCAUCUUUUGUGAAAUGGGUCAUUAGGCUUUAUCAUAGGGAUGUUUUUCACUGUUGAAAUCAGAUAAAAGAAUCCCAAAUAAAUGAUGCUGCUAAAUUACCAAACUGCUAGAGAUUAAAAAAAUUUUUUUUUAAAAAGCCAACACUUUGCCAAGCUUGUUAUACCUUAUUAUUUCUUGAUUCUCUUUGAGUAAAAAGCCCAAAUGACUGUAUGGAAGAGAGAUGAAUGGUAGAGGAGAGAGGAAACACAGGUUCUCUAAUGUACUAAAUCAGGACUUUGGCAAGGAAGUUAUAGAAAUAUAAUAUAUUCAAAUCAGUAACUUCAUAAUUUAUUAGACAUCCCAUUUAUUAGAACUCUAAGUUCUUUUGCUUUUAUAUAAAUGAAACAUUUAUUCUAUAAAUAGAAAUGUAUUUUUCAGAAUUUUCUUUGGGUUGGUUUCUUGGUAGCAUCUCCCAGUAAUACAUGAAUAACAUACUGAAACCAUGAUACAAUGUUUAGGUAGAUAUACAUAUACAUAUGUGGUCAUGUGUUUUUAAAAAACAAGUAAUGGUAAUUUUAAACAAAACCAUGUAAAAUAUCUAAGUGGAAAUAUUUUUUCCCAACUCUAUAGCUAGAUUUAAAAGUCCCAGUAAAAUUUUGUAAACAAAAUCAUAUAAGAAAAGGCAAGGCUGGCUCUUCCCUAUGGUCCUUUAGUGGAGCUAUAUUUGCAUAGAUCCUAGACAAAUGAUGCAAAACAAAUUCCCUCCAAUUUCCACUAGCAAUCUCCCUAAUUCGCUCAACCCUUACAUAAGCAUCAGAUUUAGAUUUUUAGAGUUUUGCCCACCAACUCAAAUCGGUUCCCUUCUUCUUCCAUGUUUCUGAUUUGAUAUAUUUUCCUGACUUUUUUCCCCUCCUACCAAGCCUUCCUAGUCUCUCCCAGCCUCAGGAGCUUGCUCAGCCAGAAAGGAACAAAGGCUGCUUCCAUUUCACAAGGCAGAAGUCCAGCUGACAAGUGGAGUGCGUGAGCCAGCUGGUUCUGAGCCCAGAAGUCCCGACAGGCUUUCCAUUUGUUUCCAAUGGCUUUAUUCCACAUGACUUUAGUAAACCGUACUCAAUCAAUUUCUGACCUUGGUACUUUGAAGCAACACUUGUAUACAGAUAUUAAGGGAAGAGGGAAGUUAAGGGAGGAAAAUCGAAGGUCAAACUGUGUGUCAAACAAGGUGCUGGGUCCUAAUUUUAUUUUUAGUUGCCUCUUGAAUCGCUCAAGCCCAUCUUGCCUUUUUUGUUUUUUAAACAAGAGGUUUCUGCACUAGCUUCCAUCUUCCAGACUCGUGCUGUCUAAUCCAGUAGCCACCAGCCACAUGUGGCUACUGAGCACUUAAAAAUGUGACUAGUCUGAAUGGAGAUGUGCGGUAAGUGUAAAAUACACUCUGGAUUUUGAAGAUUCAGUACCAAAAAAUAAUAUAAAAUAUCUCAUUAAAAUUUUAUGUUGAUUACAGGUUGAAAUAUUUUGGAUGCAUAUUAACUUCACUUGUUUAAAAUAUAUUAGAAAUGUAAAAAUUGUAUAUGGGGCUCACAUUAUAUUUCUAUUGGACAGCUCUGUCCUAGAGCCAAGCUCGGACUGCCAAAGAUUGGACAUCCUGUGACUGCAAGUUUCCAGUGAGCCCUUACUCAGCAGCUUGCUUAGGUGGUCUGUGGUUCAUAGAAACAGAGAGGAGGCCAAGCAUGCGAAAAAGGAACGGGAGAAAACAGCUCUCAGGGACUUUAAUAAUUACAGUCUGUAACAAAUAAGCAGUGAAUGUUUGAAUUUGGUUGGUGGAAAGCUGGGAUGCAAGUCAUCUCUGCCUAUUACGACAAAAGCCUAUCGACCCCAGCAGCCAGCACAGGCAGGCUGCAGCUGAAGCAAGCAAUAGCCUGGAGAAUAAACACAAUAUGAAAAGCUAGGUGCAUUUCUUACCGAUUCCCACCCACACACGCAUAUUCCCACUCCCCCUCCCACCUUUCCUCCUGCCCAUACAUGAGGCACAAGGGAAGAAGCAGGGAGGAGGGUAUGCAGUUCUUAGAUAGCAACAGAAGCAGCUCUUGAGCUUGGGUAGAGAAGAGCAGGCAAAGAUCACCUCGGGAUGGGAGGGAGUGGUGGAGCACCCCUUUCUCUUCGGUUGGAUCCACCUUGGUGAAAAAACAGACAAAAUAUAAUUUUGGUUAGAAAGCUGAUGUUCUCAUCGUGGAAACUCGGGGAUGGUUGCACGGGUACCCACUACCUCAUCCCUAUGACCAGGGCUGUCAGCUAACUGGCGUAUGUUGUGGAUGAGAAGUGAGAGGUGAAAACAAGCAAGUAAUGUUCUGAAUAAACAUCAUGGUGGGUGAUCCAUCACUGGCUCCCAAGUACUUGCACAAAGUUAAAAAAAAUCAUUUUCUUCUUAUCACAGUGUGUGCUUAUUAUAGAUUUAGAAAAUAUGGAUGAGUAAAAACAAAGAACUCACCCAUUCCUCCAGCACCCAGAGAUAACCAAUUAUGUGUAUAUUUUUUACUUAGAAACAGUUCCCCGUUUUCUUCCAGAAAUAAGAUCAUAUAGUCAGUUUGAACAUCUUUCGAAGGCAUUACUCUUUGCAAAGAUUAUUAAUGACAGUCUGCAUUCCAAAAUAUGACUACACUACAGUCUACCUAGUCAAUUCCCUUUUGUUGGGCAUUUAGGUAUCUUCUAAUUAAAAAUUAGAAAGCUUUUCUGACAGUAGCCAUUCUAAUGGGUGUAAAGUUGUAUCUCACUAUAGUUUUAUUUGCAGUUUCAUAAAAGUUAGUGAUGUUGAACACCUUUUCAAGUACUCUGUCGAUGUGUUCUUUUAAAAGUUAUUCACGGCCCAGUUGCAGUGGCUCACGCCUGUAACCCCAGCACUUUGAGAGGUUGAGGAGGGAUGAUGGCUUGAGCUCAGGAGUUUGAGACCAGUCUGGGCAACAUAGCAAAACCCUGUCUCCACAAAAAUUAGCCGGGCAUGUUGGUGUGCGCCUGUCCCAUAGUCCCAGCUACCUGGGAGGCUGUGGUGGGAGGAUCACCUGAACCUGAGAGGUCGAGGCUGCAAUGAGCCAAGAUUGCGCCACUGCACUCCAGCCUGGGUGACAGAGUGAGACCCUGUCUCAAAAACAAAAUAAAAACCAAAACCAAGCUAUUCAUGGGCUAUCAGUCCACUGUAACUAGGCUUAAAACCCAUUCACAUAAAAAAAAUUCAUUUACUACACAAACAUUUGUUGAGGAUUUAACAGGUGUUUGGCAUGAGGUCAGGUGCUCAGAUGUUGUGAACAGGUCUAACUGGGGCAUGUGUCAAUCAGGUAGGUCUGCUCUAACCACUGCUCUGAGACUCAGUGGGCUGGAACUGGCAGAUUCCUCAAGUAGGCAUCUUGAUAGGGACCCUACUGGUCCACUUAGGGAUUUCUGAGAAAGAACCAAAUUUCUGAGCAAGGAAGGGAGUUAGGAGAAAACACUGAAAGAAGCACCUCUUCCUCUCACCAUCCCAACCAAAUAUUUUCUUGGGCAGGCAUCUGAGAAAAGACUCAUCUGGAUGUAAACCAGACACCUAUCAUGGGGCCUUGACCAUCAACUGACCCGCCACAAGUGGUUAGUAGAAUGAGGGCUGGCCUUGUCCAAAGCUGUAAUUAGAGGGCACUCCAAGUGCAUUCGGUACUGCUCAGGGCUGUCUGGGUGCGCUCUCAGGCUGUGGGCUUGGAGGCUGAGGCUGCUGCAGAGCAGAGGAAAACUUGGUACUCGACGGUGCCUUAUUUAUUUUUGUUAGAUGAUCCAUUAUCAUUAUAAAAUAUUAAACAUGCCUAAUGCUGGAAAUAUUUAAGGCAAAUCUACAAAAAAAUUUUGGUAGACUGUGGAAAUUAAUUCACCAAUUUAAAAACUACUUUUAGGCGAGGCAUGGUAGCUCAUGCCUAUAAUCCAGUGCUUUGGGAGGUUAAGGCAGGGGACUACUUGAGGCCAGAAGCUCAAGACCAGCCUGGGUGACAUAGAGAUAUCCUGUCUCUAUAAGAAAAUUUUUAAAAAGAAAUACUUGAAAAUGCCCUUUAUGUUUCAGGCUCUGUGCCCCUCAAGGAAGGUGCAAUAGUGAGCAGGACACAGUUCUAGUCCUUACAUUGCCUACUCAAGUCUUAAAGGAGGAUGGGAGAAGAUAUAUGCUUAGCUAUUCCAUUAAAGAUCUAGAGGGUACAGGGAAGAUGGUCUAUUACCAAUUUAAAAAUAGAAAUAAUAUUUAGAAUAAGAAGCAAAUAAUAAGUUAGGAAAAAUAUUUGGAGUCUAUAUGAACAACUCCUUAAAGUCAAUUCAUUUAUUGGUGCCCAAGAAGGAAGAAGGGCUGUACUCUUAUCAAACAGAAGCCCUUCUUCUGGUGCACACACACACACACACACACACACACACACACACACCAUUCAAAGAUAUCUGUCCCAUGUGAAAACUUACUUUUCACUAACACUUUUUUUUUUUUUUUGAGAUGGAGUUUCGCUCUCGUUGCCCAGGCUCAAGUGCAAUGGCGACUUCUGCUCACCGCAACCUCCACCUCCUGAGUUCAAGCAAUUCUCCUGCCUCAGCCUCCUGAGUAGCUGGGAUUACACGCAUGCGCCCCUAUGCCCGGCUAAUUUUGUAUUUUUAGUAGAGACAGGUUUUCUCCAUGUUGGUCAGGCUAGUCUCGAACUCCUGACCUCAGGUGAUCUGCCCACCUCAGCCUCCCAAAGUGCUGGGAUUACAGGCGUGAGCCACCGUGCCUGGCCUUCACUAAAAAUUUCAAUCAUCAACUCUUGUAUAAUAAUUUUAUUAUAGCUAUACUUCUUCAUUAGGUAUUGUCUAUGAAUGCAGUCUUCCACAGAAACAAAUCUUUUCAGGAAUUAAAGUUUUCCUUUUAAGCAGUAGUAUUCUGUUUUCUUCUAGCAUUUGUCCAUGGAAAUUUUCCUAUAUUUUCUAACUCUUUAAAUUUUUCUACAGAGGCACAAAGCACAGUUUGACUCAAUUAAUUUAAUUCCAUUUAACCCAAUAGAAAUUCAACCCAACAGAAACAUCUGGUGUUGUCCUGCGCUGUGACACACAGCACAGCCAUGUUCCUGUCUCCUCCUCUGACCUGGGACUGCCAUCUGUCACUUCUCUCCCAUGUCAGUGAUUUUGCUUCUCACCAGUCUUAACUUUAGCUGUUAUUAAUCUCCUAUAAGGUUUGGAACCAACCAACCAAAAAUUACUUUAAACUGUGUUAGGAAAGAAUCAGUAGGCUUUGAGUACAUGUAAGGUGCUCUGUUAGGGAGUGGGGCCAUCGCUAGGGGUGUUGUGACAUAUUUGACUUGUUUGCUUAAGUUUUCUCUAUUUCUGGUUUGGGAAUUUGGCUCUGAGGCUAAGGCUGCCACGAACCUCAGCCUCAUGGAUGACAUAUGCAUAUUUCAUGCUAAUUCUUUCUUCGUUGUAUACAUUUUUUUUUAUUUUUAUUUUUUUUGAGAUGAAGUCUCGCUCUGUCGCCCAGGCUGGAGUGCAAUGGCGCAAUCUCAGCUCAGUGCAACCUCUGCAUCCCGGGUUCUAGUGAUUCUCCUGCCUCAGCCUCCUGAGUAGCUGGGAUUACAGGCACACACCACCAUGCCCAGCUAAUUUUUGUAUUUUUAUAUUUUUAGUAGAGAUGGGGUUUCACCAUGUUGGUCAGGCUGGUCUCGAACUCCUGACCUCGUGAUCCGCCCACCUCAGCCUCCCAAAGUGCUGGGAUUACAGGCGUGAGCCACCAUGCCCAGCUAUUGUGUUUUUUUAAAAGUAAAUUUCAGAGGCUUUCCAGCAAAACCCUGGAAAGCCUGCUAGACAAAUUCUCAAAGAGCUGUAACACUUCCUAUACAUUUACUGUUAUAAAAUUCCAGUUUGUCUAUUUUUCCUUUCUUGUUGACAUUCUUCUUCAAUGGAGGAAAAGCAAUUUAGUUCUUUAUGGUAGCAUUACCUACAUUAGCAGAACAACAGAAAUAAUUUAAAUGUCCAUGGUAAUGGUAAAUUACUAUAUGCUGAAAUAAAAACCAUGUGAUAACAUGGGCACUAUUUACUAAGCAAUGUUAUGUAAACCCCGCCAAAAAACUGUACAUCGUCAUUAUAACUACAUAAAAAAACAGAAUUAUAUGGAUAAAAAAUUGGAUGAGAAUCUGGUAAAAUGAAAAUAUCUAUUAUGUGGAGAGAUUAUGGAUAUAUUUACAUUUUCAUGUAAUGCUCUGUAAAGCUAUGAUUACAAUACGUUUAAAAGAUCAAGGCAGUUAAAGGGAGUUUUUGUUAUAAUUAAUCAGACAUUAUGCCAAUUUCAAAACUAGAAGGAAUAGAAGAUGGCUCUACUUGUGCUGUCUCAGGAAGAUGAAAACAGAGGAAGACGUCCAAAGAAGUAAAAUAAUAAAAUUUAAUACUAGCAAACCACGGUAUUUUGAGCUUGUAAUGACACAUUAAAAUAACUGUUUCUCAUAUGCAUUCUGGGCAUCUGCAAUUUCCUCACUGCCUGUGGAAGGGGAAUUUACUAGAAUGUAGAUGGCUCCAAAGGGUUCUCUACCCCACUCCAGGCAAGAAGCCUGGACUUUCUAUAUAGCCCGAGUGUCACUCAGGCUACUCAAGCGUGAAUCUUCAAAAACCUUGGCAGAAAUACUCACUCCGGCUUUCGUUUCUUGCCAGUUUGCUGGGAUAACUUUUGGUCGUUUGUACAUAUGGCUCUGGAGGUGGCAAAUCGGAAAUCGGAUGGAAGUAGAAUCUGCUUUCCCACUCAUCUGGGAAGAGAAACAAGCAGUAUCUUCAGUGACAGACAAUGUGCUAUGAAGACUUACGUAACGAAAGGCACAGAAUGAAAGAGAGAGAGAACCACAGACAUCAGUGCUAGUUUUUAUGCCUAGAAGUUUACAGAAAAGCUGGAAGUGCUACAAAGGUCACGAAUUAGUACACUGACAUAUAUACAGGCCUGCAAAUCAAAGCAAAGUGGUUUUAGUGAGAGUGAUUAGGAUCCAGCCAGUCCCUCUUAGGAGCUGGGGGCUAAGGUAUGGGACACCUUUUUCCCCAUUGAUAACAAUGGCAGAGAUAGGCAACUUAGUAUCUGCAGGCCGUCAGGCCUCUUACCUACAGUGAACUGUUUAGAAAUGUACAUAAUAAGAAGCUAUAAAAAGAUUCUUUUCAGAAUCCUGGAAUCUCUGGAAAGUUAACUAAAAUGAGACCCAAACAAAGAACAGAUCAGGGAAAAAUGAUCCGCCUUUUUGGGAAGUGGGGAAGGGGGAUUACUAUUUUUAAUUUGAAAUCAUGGUGGGCCUUAGAAUGGUUAGAUAGUUAGAUCAGUGCAAUGGAGUGUGAUAAUGAUGGAACAAGAAAUUAAACGCAAACAAGCAAACCACAUAUACAAACAGAUUUACCAUUUAGUUGCUGCCCUAUAGCCCAGGGAGCUGGGACCACACCUCACCUUCACAUGGAGAGUCUUGGAAGCCAUUUCUAAUAGAUGUUGAUGGUGGAGGUGGGGGAGGUGCCCCAGCACUGGGCCUAUCAGGAGGAAGGGGAGGCCUGGGUCCACUCCUGGGACUGUCUACUCCACUCCUGGAUGGCAACUGAGGGGUAGCAGGCAGGGCCCGAGAUGUGCUGCCGUUUCUGCUUACUGGAGGAGGUGGUGGGAGGGGGCCUGGAGCAAAAAAAGACACUUAGUGCAGAACCUUACAUCCACAUUCCAUUACCGUGGUCACCAUUGGUGUACAGCUGAUGAGGACUUGCUGGACACAUGCCCUUUAAUUAGGGUGAUUUUCUAGGAUAUUUGGCUGAGAAAUGAGUAAACACACAGAAACACAAAAAUUGCACAUGUGUACACAUGUAUAUGCAAAACAAGUGCAUACUGAUAGCUAAAUGGGUGUUUUGGCUUUGAAUUAGCACUCAGAUUGGAGAUGGCACAGUGAAAUUGAAAACAGGUGAAAAUCUGUUUACACGGACAACCGUAUAUUUAAAAAAACAUUUUAUAAUCCUUUAAAGAGCUAUUGAACUAAUUACUGUGACAUGAUGAAAGAAUUUUUUUAAAAAGAAUAAGAUAGUUAUGAAAUUAUUUUAGGUCUUCAGAAGAACAAAGUUCUUUAAAUGCAUAGUUUUGUUGUUAAUUACAGAAGCAUGUUUCUGUGAUGUAUAUGAUCUGUUUCCAGGCAGAAGUGGCAUCAGGAAACCAAAUACCAGUCAUCCUGAGAGCAGUAAGAGUUUCUUCUUGGUUCUUCCUCUUUGGGGAGGCAGAUAAACACAGGGAGUGACAAACAGCUAAUCAACAUCCAUGGCUAUAAAUGCUAAUGUGAAUCUUGACCCUGAGCAAGCUGGUACCCUAUGGAACUUGGUUUCCUAGCUGUAAAAGAGUGCCAGAUGGUCACCUGUCUCACAGCACUGCUGCCAGGAAAAACUAGUGAAAAUGCAAAUAAAAAAUACUAUGUAAGUACUUGAAACCAUUUUUUAAAAAAAUGUAGCAGUAUGGUAUAACCAUAAGUUUUUAAGUUUCUAAGAAAAAUUCAAGGAAAUUUUUUUGAUAAUACAAAAGAAAACCAUCUUGCUUUUCCUAUCCUCCAAAUGCAGGGGCUAUUUGAGUAGUAAGUAAAUUAAAAAAAACAAAACCAAAAACUUGAGCAUUUUCCAAUGUAAAUCAAAAUGGCCUUAGUAAUUAUGCCUGCUCUUCAGCAGUGUGUUCCGCUUGUAAGAUGCUGACAUUUUAUGUGAAUACAAUGUCUUAAGGUGCUAUAAAUAAAUAUCUUAUUAGCUAUAGAUUCAGAAUCCAAUUAGGAACCUUAAACUGAACAACCUGCCCACUGCAGAUAUCCCUGACAGAAAGUCUUGGCUCCAACAUUUUACAGAGGUGGGAGGCACUGCCCAGCCCUGAUUGGUCUCUCAAGGAGUCUUCAGUGCCUCACCUGGGAGUGGUUAUUUAUUACCCUAUCUGCUUGUCAUUGCUGGAGUCCCAGGCAGCAAGAGUUGAUUUACUGAGGAAAAGUGUCUCAUUUGCUGUGGUUUUAACUUCAUUGGUGAUACCACCACACAACUGUCACUACAUGCAAACUCAACUUCCAAUAUUAUGGGGCCCUGUACUACGUAACUUCAUCUCAUUUUCUUUUUAAAGUAAAUGGUCAUGUUCAUGUUCCUAACUCUCCAACCUUGUGGCACCCUGCUCCAAAUCCUGGCAGGCACAAUAGAAAAGAAAACAGAUUUCUAUUUCCCACUGGCAGAAUAACAGAAAUGAUCAUUUAUUGAAUAUAACUAUAUGCCAGGAAAUAAGAUAACCACUAUACAUGCUUGUCUCAUUUAAUUCUUAUAACAACUCUGAGAGGUACAGGGAUAGGAGACAAGGCCUCAGAGGUUUUGGAAGCUUGAAAAGCUCAUCAGAAGACUGAGUGGAGGAGCCAGGAUCUGACUCCAAAUCUAUUAGAUUCCAAGGCCCACUCCCCAUAACACUGAAGCCAAACAACUCAGAAUACACAGGGCCUUUGAUGAACUCUCAUACGCUCCUUGUGGGAAUGUAAAUUGGUAGGAAAUUCCUGGAAGGCAAUUUGGCAGUACCUAUUGAAAUCCAUAGUUUACUAUGCACACUCACUGACCCAGAUAUUCCACUUAUAGGAAUUAAUCCAAAGGAAAUACAGAGAUGUGUACACAUAUUUUGCUACAAAAAUAUAUCACUGCAUUAUCUGCAACAGGAAAAAUCUAGAGAUGGCCCAUAUGACCAAGUGAGGGGAUUGGUUAAAUAAAUCAAGGUACAUUUGUAGGAUUUAAUAUUAGGUAGCUGUUACAAGUCAGGCUGUAGAAUAAUCAUAUCAGCAAACAUUAAUGAGAUACUGUUAAAUAAAAAGCAAAUUAGCAAACAAUAUAUGUAGUGGGAUACCAAGUUUGUAAAAACAUGCAUUUUAAAAAGACUGAAAGGACACAUUAAAAGAAUGUUAUCAAUGAUUAUUUCUGGAUAGUGGUGGUAGAAGGAUUAAUUUUAAUUUUCUUUAUAUUUUUCAGUAUUUCUAUAAUAAACAAGUAUGACUUACGUAAUCAAAAGAAAUAAUAAAUGUUAUAUGUCAAUGCCUGUCAUAUUUUGGGGAAGAUUUAAUCUGCUGACUCAUCCAUUUGGUAGGGCCAUGGCACAAUGGUUUCAAGGUGUGGUUCUCACAUUCUGCUGCACACUAUAAUCACCAGGGAGCUUUUAAAUAUCCUGAUUCCCAGUCUGCACCCCAGACCAAUUAUGCCAGAGACUCCGGGAAGGGACCCAGGCAUUGGUGGUUUUUAAAGCUCCGCAGAUGAUUCCAGUACGUGAGCAAGUUUAAAGAAUGGUGAUUAUGAGGUUCCUGAGGUCACAGGGUCAAAGGUCUCUUAUCUCUGCGUAAAGGAAAAAAAUGCCCCAUUUCCAGACAUAAUAAGGUCUGUACGAUGAGAUUCAAUUUUAAAAGUGGGUGGUUCUACUGAGUUCAUCCAUAACCACUAUAAAACGCAUCAAGUGAGCAUAUUCUACUAAAAAUGCCUAUUAUAAUUCGGAGAGGGCAAACUCUAGGCAAUCCUCACAUUUCCUUUCAUACUCUGAAAGUUUGUCCCUCAGAUCAAGGUUUCUCAACUGUGGAUGGGGGCAUUGGAAGGGUCUCAGAUGGGCUUCAGCAGGCUCUUCAAGCCAUGUGACAGCAGGCAAAUUUUGAGUUUAUGCCUGAGUAUUUUUGUAAAGAUAGUCUAUACCUUUAUUUGAUUCUCCAAGGGAUUUAUGUACCAGAGAUUACAAAGAGCAAAAUGGACUUUUUAAACAUUAGUCUUUAAUGAAUAGGGAAAUGGCCUCAAAGCCUGGCGAAUGAAGAGAGAAGUACAGGAGAAGUUCAUUAGCUCUUGAAGAACUUCCCCUCUUGUUGGAAUAACAGAGCCCUCCUGCGGGAGGUGGGGACUUAUUUUCCCAAUUAAGACCGCCGAAAUUCUCUCUAGGGAGGCAGGGUAGUGGACUGGCAAGUACACUUCAGAGAUGGAAGAUGAAAGUUCUUGCCUCUUCUUUAUUAACUAGCUCGUGACCAUUUAACUUUAUUAGCUACUCAGUGUCCUCAUCUCUAAAACACCAACAGAAAUAUUGGUCCCACUUUCCCCCGGGGUUUACACGAGGUCACGAUCACACGUGUCGUGUGCCACUUAAAAGCACAAAGCAGUCUGAGUUUACUUAUGCCUGCUUUUGUUAGACUAUCUUGACUGACAGGAUUAUUGGUACAUUUGGGCAGGCUGGGUUUUGGAAGCAACUCACUCCACGUCUUGUCAUACCUGAUCGGCCUGGCGGGUCCCUCACUGGAGGUGGGGGUCUCUCACUGGGCGGGGGAGGAAGAGGACCUGAACGUCCUGGCGAAGGUAACGGGGGCGUGGACGAACUGAGGGACAGAUUCCGCUGUGGGAGUCUUGGGGUUUCGUCAUUGCCGCUGGAACUUGGAGGCAGAGGAGGCGGCCCGGGCCUGCUGGGAGGUGGCGGCGGAGGUGGGGCCUGUGAGGAGGCCGAAGGCCGCGGAGUGGAAGGCACUGGAGGCUUGUUGUUCUGAGGAGGAGGAGGGGGAACCGCUUCCCUGUGGAUGGAGGGCCUGUUGCCCACUGGAGGAGGUGGUGGAGGGGGUUUGUCAUCCAAGGCCCUGCUGGGGGUAGGCGGCAGGGGAGGCCGGUUGGAGAAGGGCGAGGAGGAGCUCAAGGGGGACUGACGUAUUGAGCCUCCUCCCAAAGCAGUGCCGCGGUUUCCAGGGAAAGGGGGAGGAGUGGGCCCGGGGCUGGGCUGCCUGGGGCCUCCGGGCACUGGUGGGGACCCCCGGUUGUGCGGACUUGAUUGAAUGGGUCUUGGAGUACUAGGUACUGGAGGAGGAAUGCUAUCAGGCUUUGAGCCCACGUCGGGCCUUGGGGGCGGCAUUCGGUUCCUCUGAGGCUCUGGGGGACCACUUCUGUGGCCUGGAGAAGGCACAGGAAACCUCCCUGGGCCACUUGGGGGUGAAAAGGGUUUCGCAGAUGUGGAUCUUCCUCCCGGUGGCAACAAUGGUGGUCGGCUUCCUCCAGAAUCUGAAGAACAGGAAAACAAACAUCAGUUAGGAAAUCAGGAACCCUGAAGAAAUCAGAGAGCUAGAGUCUGUUCCCAGUGACUGGAAGUCCCUUCCUCAGAGGGCUAUAAAAUACAGGAAACUAUUAUUUAUAUAAAUUGGGUUUUGUUGGUCCUUCUUGGGAGCAGAAAAUCGACCAUAGCUCUAUUUACCUGCGAGUCCCAACUUCUACAGCCUAUGAGCUUUCAAAAGGAUUCUGCAAAUAUCUCUUAGCAUUAUGUAUAGGCAAGAGCCAGGAUGAAGUGGGCGAGAGUUCUGGUGAGAUGCCUAUUCAUUAUGAGAGGACAAGAACAAGAUGGCAUUGGUAGAAUCAUGAUUUUCAUUUUUCCUCAUCACCAUCUCUGUCUCCCAGCCCUUGUACCUCUCAGUUUUGAAACUAAGUCAGCUGUCUUAGGUGAAAAAAUUAAUUAUCCCAAUGUAAAUCUCCAAAUGUGAGGGCUUAUCUAGUCCCUAUGAAGAGAAAUGCCCCAAAAAAAGUGGAAAACUGUAAGGGGAAAUUAUAAGAAAAGAGUUAUGACUGCAAUAAGAAAAAACUAAGAAAGGAAAAAGAACCAUCAGUAAAGUUUAAUUGUAAGAGUUGACACCAGUGGAUGGAAUUCAUCUACAAAGAAGCAGGCAACUACACAACUUUUUUUUGGUACCACGUCAACCUCUGCUUCAGUAUUGGCAGGACAGAAUAAUCCCAUAACUGCUCUGGUUCAACAAGGGAGAAACUAAAGGGGGAACCAAAGAGAUGGAAAAUUUCAAACCACCAUCCCAGAAUCUCUUGGAACUCAAGGUAAUUCUGAAAAAAAAAAAAAAAAUCUACCCAUUUAUGAGUUAAUAAGUGUACCAAAUAAUUUUGAGCACUUGCUAUGCGCCUGCCAUUAAUCUAGAGACUAGAGACAGAGGAGUAAACAGAAUAGAAAAGAUUCUGCAUUCCUGUAGUUUACAUUCUUGUGGGGGGAGAUAAACAAUAAACCAGGAAAUAAAUACUUUCAGAUAAUUAUAUGUACUAAAAAGACACUAAAAUAGGCCGAUGAGAUCAAGAGUGCUUGGAGAGGCCAGGGUACAUGGAGUGGCUGGGGACAGCUCUUCUGAGAAUGUGACAUGUGAGCUGAGGCCUGACAAGAAGGAGUCAGCCACGGAAAGAUGAGGAAGACCAGCACUUUGGGCAGGGUUGGCCAGCAGGUGCAGAGGCCCUGAGGUGGGAAAGAGCUUCAAGUUCAAAAACGGGCCCAUGUGCCCGGGGCACAGUGAGAAUGGGAGAGAUCCAUGGGAAGUGGAGCCUGAGUGGCCAGCAGGGGUUAGUCACAAGGAGCCCUGCAGGACAGAAGGGGUUCCGAUUUUAUCUAAGGCACAGGAAGAAGCAUUUGGACAGAUGUAUACAGUGGAGUAUCAUGAACUUAAGAGAGAACUUUCUUCUUCUUUUUUUUUUUUUUUUUGAGACAGUGCCUCCUCUGUUGCCCAGGCUGGAGUGCAGUGGUGCAAUCACGGCUCAUUGCAGCUUCAACUUCCUGGGCUCAGGCAAUCCUCCCACCUCCGCCUCCUGGGUAGCUGCGACUACAGGCAAGAGCCACCAUGCCCACUAACUUUUUGUUUUUUUUUAGUAGAGACAGGAUUUUGCCAUGUUGCCCAGGCUGUUCUUGAAUUUUUGGGCUUCAGCCAUCUGCCUGCCUUGACCUGUGAAAGUGCUGGAAUUAUAGGUGUGAGCCACCAUGCCUGGCCCAUUUUAUUAUUUUAUUUUUCUUUGUCUUUUGCCUUAAUUUCUUCACCUGUUGUUAAAGUACUAAAUGUAUACAUUUAUCAGCUGCCUUAAAUCCUUUUGGUGAGUUUUAAAUAAAUUUAAAUUCAAAUUUAAAUGGUGGUCUGGCAAGAUAGAACCUCUCAUGUGACUGAGUUUCUCUCUAGAUUUGGACCAUUCAGUGAUAAAAUAGUAGGCUAACCCUGAGGAUUCAGUGAUUCCAUAUUCAUGUAAAUGUGAGAGUUUCAUUCUUUCCCAGGGGACAUCUUAUAAAAGGUCUAAAAAUGAAAAUUAUUAUAACAUGAUCAACAUUACAAAAGCAGUUUUAUGGUAAAAUUUCUUGAGUUUCUGUAGUAGCUGGGAGAGAGCCUCAUGCCCUCUGCAAAGUUUUUUAUCUAGGCAUUCAUGAGCAAGUUCAGUUUUUUUCUACCAUCAGGUUCAUAGACAAUCCUGAAGGACUCAUGUCCAUGGCUCCCUGCAGAGACUCCUGAGAACCACUGGCACUGAAAUACCAAAUAUCUGUCAUGCAAAACACUUUUUCAGAUUUAGUGAGAUUUGUAAUCAUAUUCCACAAGAUGUGCUCCAUCGUGUUUGAAAAGCGGCUCACAAGUAUUUACUCUACUAGACAGCUGGGCUACCUCACAAAGAAAGCUGAAUCUGUCAGGUCACCAGGCAGAUUUCCAGGGCCAGCAAGUUCUAUUUGCUCCUCCCUUUUCUUCCCACUCCAGCUAACCCUUUAGAAAAGUAAAAAAAAAAAAAUGUACAGGUUACCCCCAAAGACACUGGGUGAAAAUUUCAUAGUUCUGUGUAGCUGUCUGAUCCUGGUUAAUAAUAAUAAUAAAGCCUAAAUUGAGUCUCUUAUAAAACAGUGGUAAUAUUUAAAACAAUGUACAAUAUUUUAAUAAGGGCGAAGAGCCUUAGAGGCUAUGACCAGCCUCCAAACUGCCAAACUCUGCCUUGUCUUCAGUCACUCAGAGACAGGGAAACUCUCCUUACCAUUAUCCCUGUUGGCCGUGGAUCUCAGCUUCGGCAUUCCAGCCUGGAACAAUCCUCCCAGACCUGGAGGUCCGCCCCCUCCAAAACUUCCACCGCCUCCGCCACCACCUCCUCCGCCAAAUCCGCCGCCUCCACCAAAGCCACCACCACCGCCUCCAGCACCAGCUCCUUUAGGUUCUGUAGAAGAAGAGACACCCGACAGACUAUGCCCCCUGGUCUGGCCCAGGUAAACCAUAAAACAACAGUACAACAGGGAGCUGGCCGGCUCUCGGCCUCCAGUGGACAACUGGGAUUUCUUCAUUAAAAUGCAGGAUUUUAAGAGUUCCCUCAGCUCAGUCAGAACUGCCCGCUCCAGGCAGUCCCAAGCCCAGUGGUGGAAGAAACGAAAAUAAAGGAUGAUUUGUCCCCACACUCCCCACUUGACUGGCUGCCACAUGGGUCAGUAUCUGUUUGUUCCGUAUCCUAAGAUUUGGCAAAUAGAAGGAUCUUCAGGCUGGGUGCAGUGGCUCACACAUGUAAUCUCAGCACUUUGGGAGGCUGAGGUGGGAGGAUCGCUUGAGCCAGGGAGGUCAAGACUGCAGGGAGCCAAGACUGUGCCACUGCACUCCAGCCUGGGUGACAGUGAGACCCUGUCUCAGUAAAAAGGAUCUUCAAAGAAAGAGGGUCGCAAGGGAGGAGGAGAUGCCAUAAAAGGCGAGAAGAAAGGAAAGAGUUAAAAAGAAAAGAAAAUAAAAUAUCUCAUAAUUUCACAAAUAUACAAAUAUCCAGGCUAGGCACAGUGGCUCACACCUAUAAUACCAGCACUUUGGGAGGCUGAGACUGGAGGAUAGCUUAGGCCCCAGAAGUUUGAGACCACCCUGGGCAACAAAGUGAGACCUCGUCUCUACGAAAAUAAACAACAACAACAAAAUGUAGCCAGGCAUGGUGGUGCACACCUGUAGUCCCAGCUACUUAAGAGGCUGAGUGAGAGGAUCACUUGAACCCACUGAGGCUGCAGUGAGCUAUGAUUGCACCACUGCACUCCAGCAAAAAAAAAAAAAAAAAAACACUAAGCAAAUAUCCACAAUUGAGUUAUACUUUUUCCCAUCAGUAUUUUUCAUUUUAUGUGUUUUUUCUUAAAAUUAAGAACAAAUUCACUAAGCAGUAUUAAGCCUGCUUUUUUCAUUUAACACUUUGUUAGCACUUCUUGUGUCAUACUCUUUGAAAACAUGAGUUUAAAGGAUUCUAUUGUAUUGUAGAACAUGAAUGUAUUACAUUAAAAUUUAUUUAACUACUCAUUUGAUGGCCCUUUAGAUUGCUAUUAAUUUUUUAAUAUCAUGAAGCCCAAUAGUAGGCUUUAGUAAUUUAAACAUUCUUUGCAAUUUGAGAGGGUAUAAAGAUCUUGUUUUAUUUUGAAUUUAUCUGCAAAAAAUUGUGAAAGAUUUUGAUGGGAGGCAAACAAACAAACAAACAAAAAGAUUACUGAGUAUUCUGUCUAGUCUUCUGGGUUACUUUCCAUUGUCUUUGAGCCACAGUAUCUUAUCACUCUGAAAGGCAUAGAAAACUGAUACUAAUGCAAUGGUAUUUGUCCAAAGAAGUGCAAAUUAGUUGUGUUUAAGCCAUGCUUAUACCCUCUUUAAAAAAAUUAUCUCUUAAUUUAUGUAUGUAUGCAUGUUUGUAUUUAUGAGCUUAAACAUUAUUUAAAGUCCUCUUCCCAAAAAACUAUGUUGAGUUUUUGAUAAAUAGUAUAUGAAAUCUACAAAUUAAUCUGGGAGAACUGAUACUUUUAUGAUAUUUAGACUUUCCAUUUGGAGAUGUGGUAUAUUUUCCCAUUUAUUUAUGUCUUCUGGAUUUUUUGGCAAAGUUUUUUAGUUUUUAUGAUAUACAUUACACAUGCUUUUUGUUAGGGUUACUUCAAAUGUAUUUUUGUUUGCUGAAAUUGUGAAAGGGAUGUUUUUCCUGUUAUAUUUUGUAAUUGGUUAUUUUUGGCACCAGGAAAUUGUAUUUAAUAUCUAAUAAGCCACUUUGCUAUGUUUUCUAAAUAAAAUUUACUAAAAAUGUAUUAUCUUGCAUUUUCUAGUAUGCACAUGGUCUUCAAAUAAUGACAGUUUAAAGCCUCCUCUUCUCUAAGAGUUGUAUGUCUUAUUUCUGUUUUAUAUAAGUAAUUACUUUGAUGGGUAAAUUUCCAUAACAAUGUAAAUUAUUAACGUUUCUAAAGGCAAUCAUGUUCUGAUAUUAAUGAGAAUCCCUCUGAUAUUUCAAAGUUAAUAUGAAUUAUUGGUUUGAAAUAGGUUUUUUCCCUUUCUAAAUAUUCAGUCUGUGGAUCCUUCUAUUUUAGGUUUACAAGAAUUUAUUAUAGCAUGAAAUUUUAUCAAAUGCCUAUUCAAGAUCUACUGAGGCUUUUUGAUGGUCUUUUUUAUUUGAUAUGAUGGAUAGACUUUCUAACAUUAAAAAUGGGAUAGGCCAGGUGCAACGGCUCACACCUGUAAUCCCAACACUUUGGGAGGCCAAGGCGGGUGGAUUGCUUGAGCUCAGGAGUUCAGGACCAGUCUGAGCAAUAUGGUGAGAUUCCCAUCUCUACAAAAAAUGAGCCAAAUGUGGUGGUGCAUGCCUGUAGUCCCAGCUAGUUGGGAGGCUGAGGUGGGAGGAUCCCUUGAGCUUGGGAGGUCAAGGAUGCAGUGAGCUGUGUUCAUACCAUUACUCCAGCCUGGGUGACAAGACAAGACCCUGUCUCCAAAAAAAAAAAAGGGGGAUAAACCCUGGUGUUGGUGAAUUAUUCUUGUAACAUCUGAUUGAUUUAGAUUUGUUUUUUGGUAUUUUAGUGUUCUCUUAUCUAUGAUGAUAAGUGGUCCAUAAUAGGGUUUCUUAAUUAUAAACAUUUUGGGACAGAUAAUUCUUUUUUGUGGGUGGCUGUCCUGUCCUGUUCUUUACAGAAUGUUUACAGCAUCCCUGGCCUCUACCCACUAGAUGUCAGUAGCAGCCCUCCCUGUCCCCCAAAGUAGUGACUAAAAAUGUCUUCAGACAUUGCCACAUAUCCCCUGGAAUGCAAAAAUCACCCUCAGUUGAAAACCACUAAUGUACAGCUUUCUUUUUUUAUGUGCUGCCUUUGUCAAGUUUUGACAUUAGGAUCAUGCCAAUUUCAUUACAAUUAUUAGACAGCCUUCCAUCUCUUAAUAUAUUGGGGAAUGACUUAUACAGCAUUUGAAUUAGCUGUUUCUUAAAAUUUGAAAGAAUUUGCUAAUAAAAUAAUCUGGCUCCAAAACUUUUUGGAGAGAAAGUAAUUUAAUAAAGUUUUUAUCUUUUCCCUUGCUCAUUGAGGUUUCCUGAAUAAAUAUAUGCUUUUCUUAGAAAAGUACUUUCUUUAAUAUCUUAAAACAUUUUAGCAGAUAACUUUAUUACACUACUUUAAUUUUAGAAAAUAUGCUUUGAAUCUCUUAUUUUAUCUGCUUUCUGAGUUCCACUUUUAUUCAUUUUUAUUUCCAUUUUCUGGAUUAGGUUUAUCAUAAAUUUGUGUUAGUUCUGUAUCUUUUCUAGAUGUGGAGCUUUCUGAGAUGCUUAUGGUAGCUCUGCUGUGGAAGAAAUAAUCUGAUAAUAACUGACAAGAAUUACUUCACCUAACAGGAUAAAUCAUAUAAGACUAACAAUUUCUAGAAGUGUAUGCAAAAUUGUUUCCAUAUAAAAUUUAAAAAUUUUGCUAUUAACAUCGCCCUUGUCAUUCAAACACUAUUCAUUGAUGAAUGACACAUUUUGGAAUACUGCACUUCACAGGACACGUUUACAUGGUACUGAAACUUUAGAGGGACUCCUGCACUAUCAGACAUCACCCAUUACUGUUCUUUUUUUUGUUUUUUUGAGAUGGAGUUUCACGCUUGUUGCCCAGGCUGGAGUACAAUGGCACGAUCUUGGCUCACUGCAACCUCUGCCUCCUGGGUUCAAGCGAUUCUCCUGCCUCAGCCUUCCAAAUAGCUGGGAUUACAGGCAUGCGCCACCACACCCGGCUAAUUUUGUAUUUUUAAUAGAGAUGGGGUUUCUCCAUGCCUCAGGUGAUCCCAGCCUCAGGUGAUCGACUUGCCUCAGCCUCCCAAAGUGCUGGGAUUACAGGUGUGAGCCACUGUGCCUGGCCCAUUAGUGUUCUUAACCUGCAACAUCUGUCCAUCUUUCAGAAAGAGAAGCUAAAGCUGAGGAUUAAGCUUUCAGAUUAUUUUUUCAGUAAUUAAACUGUAGGACAGGGCUGAGUUAUCACACAUAACCAUGGUCAACAUUUUGACAUACAGCCCAGGGAAGUUUCACAUGCAAACAGAUACAAAACUGUGGAUAAACACUGCUGCUUGCAAAGAGCUUGUGACAGCAGUAUAGGUGUCCAGUUGAGUGUGUGGACAAGGGCCUGCACUGGACUGUAUCUUCCUUCCAUCAAGGAAAGCACAUUAUUAAACAUCAUGGAAGAGAGAAGGACUAACACUAUUUCCAUUAAAUAAGAGAAGUGGACAUUGAAGAAUACAAUUCUUCAAGGUUUCCACUAGUGGAUUCAGGAAUAGGUCUAGACUGUCCAGCCUCCUUCAACAGAGCCCUAGGCUCCCUCUUGCAGUGAGGAGAACCACAGGCCUCUGUCCUAGAGGUCAGCUCCUCUGGCCUCAUACCAGGGACCAUGAUUCAGAUGGCUAUUGGAGGGCUUGGAGGGCUGAGGGAUUAGAGGGAAUAUAUUAUAACCACAUUCGUUUUGUGGGCAUUUUGACUUACAAGUCAGACUGUGUCAAGAGUUAAAUACCUUAGUUCCUUUUUUUUUUUUGAGACAGAGUCUUGCUCUGUUGCCCAGGCUGGAGUGCAGUGGCACAAUCUCAGCUCACCGUAACUUCCACCUCCUUGGUUCAAGUGAUUCUUGUGCCUCAGCCUCCCGAGUAGCUGGGACUACAGGCAUGUGCCACCACACCUGGCUAAUUUUUGUAUUUUUAGUAGAGAUGGGGUUUUACAAUGUUGUCAAGGCUGGUCUUGAACUCCUGGCCUCAAGUGAUCCACCCGCCUCAGCCUCUAAAAGUGCUGGAAUUACAGGUGCGAGCCACUGCGCCCGGCCAUAGUUCCUUUUUGAAAGCAGUGCAUUCUCACUCGCAGCACUUUGCCCGGUAACAGAACAACAUUCAAAGGCCUUAUCUAGGUCUUUCACUUUUCCUUUUUCCUCCCAAACCAGUAGUCCACCUAACUCUGAUCCUUCUUCUUCCUUCUCUACUCAUUAGGUAUUUCUCCCAGAAAGUUCCCUGAAGCACUUCUAAUCCUUUACUUUGCAAAGAUUCUGCCUCAUUAUUCACUUGUUGACAAAGAUCCAUCUGGUGAUUUUGGAAGGUCAGUCUAUUUCCUGUUCCGUCCAAAUGGGAUCUGUAGUCUAGGAUGAAUCUUGGGGACAUCUGGCAGGCAAAGGAAGGGUCUAGGAAUGUGAGGAGACAGGCUUAAGAUCUACUUAUUAAUUGCCAGUAGAAUUCUAGUCAUGGAUUAUUUUUUGUCCUGUUGUAAAUGUUAAUAAGUAGCUUUGUUCCAGAAAGUACCUCAGACUUAGGUGGGUUGAUAACUGAAGUUGUGACCUCAUUUUCUUUCUCUCUAAGCUCCUAAUAAUUGUAUCUUACACUUGAAUUACACUUUCCAGACAACAAAACAUUUUACAGGCAUUAUCUCAUUUGAAGCUCAUGACAAACUUGUGAGGUCAAUAGAACAUGUAUUAUCAUCUCCAUUUUAAAAUGAAGAAAACAAGGCUUGGAGAUGGUACAGGAUGGAUGUGCCAGGUCUUGAACCCACAGCUUUUGAUUCCAAGGCUAGGGCUCUUUCCAUAUUUUAUGCUGCCUCCUCAUCUGUGGUGCCAGGAGCAAUGGGUUAAUCUCCAGAAAGUGUUGUGAAUAAUGCAGAGAAUUGCUGCUGUGUAUGUCUUGGACAAAGAAUUAUUAUACUGGCUUCUUGCAGCAUUAGAGGGGAACCCAAGCCAAAGCUGCGGCCUACAGGGAGUGAUACAGUCCCUUAUUUUGCUAGCUUUGCAGCUGUUGUUAACCAAAAAAUAAAAUAAAAUAAAAAUUGAGUGGUGAGGGUAGGGUUGAUUAUUAGGCCAUAAACUGUUCCUCUCCAUGGUAGAUAGCCUUUUUUUACUUACUGUCCAGUAUUGGUGCACUUCUGUCAUUGGUGACCGUCUUCUUUAGUUUCUUCCCUUUGCUGAUAUCAGAAAGGAGAGCAUUUCUCCCAGCCUGCUCUGUCUUAUUCAAGGUAGGCUUCUCUGUAUUGGCCUGAAAGGGAGCCAUACAAACAAGUAGUCAUCUCUUGGGUUAAAAUCAUGCAUUGUAACACUCGGCUGGGAAAGGUUGGGUACGGGAAGCUUGUUGUUAAGGUUCUUGGUGAUAGGUUGUAAAUUCUCGACAAGUUUUAGACCCCAUAUCUUUCUUUUUAAGAUCCAGACGUUUGGAAGCAGAUGCAGCAAUAAAUUAUGUUCAUUUUUAAGGGAGGAAGAGUCAGUCCUUGAUUAAAGUCUCUGAAAAUUCAGACCACAAUCUGACUGAAACUAACAGGGCCAGGUUAGGGUGAGAUGACUAGACACGAGAAAAGAAUUUUAAGUCUGGGAGGAUUCUGCAGGACAUUACCAGACGUCAUUCACUAGAGGGUACCCUGAAGAAUAACUUCCUUUUCCCAUCUUUUAGAACUACCCCAGUGCAAGGGAAAAACUGUCUCUAGCAAAAAGAGUCAGCUGUAUGUUUUUUAAACCCACUAAAGUUCUAGAAAAUAAUUCCCUCUGUGUAUAUUGCCAAAGAUGCUUUUUUUCUCUUUUUAAGUCAGAUUUAUUAAGGUGUAAUUUACACAUAGUGAAAUCACCCUUUUUAGUUACAGCUCUAUGAGUUUUGACAAACAUAUACAGUUGUGAAACCACCGUCACAAUCAAGAUAUAGAAUAUUUUCAUUACUUCAAAAGUUCCCUCAUGUCCUGUUGGCAUGAGGUGUUUCUGAUGUUUAAUUCUGAUGAAAGCUUAGCUCAUGGAAAUUGUGGAAUGGACAAAAAUGCUGCUUUAACAUGUCUGAUUAUUUUCUUAUAUUUCCAGAAUUCCUAGGAAAGAUCCCUACCUACUAUGAAAUUGGGAUCUUGUUCCUUCAGGGAGUUGGGGACACUAAGAGACCAGCAAAUGGACUUAGAUGUAGGCACCUGCCUGUGUGCCUGUGUCUAUCACACUUGGAAACUGGCUAGGUCUUGUCUGUCUCAGGGAGAGUCUGGCUGCCCCAAACCCACAGGUCCUUUCUAGGCUGGCCCCAGCCCUUCUGACAGGGAUAUGAUUUCAGAUUUGCCAGUUAGGGCCACAGGAGGAAAAGCUGGGGAAAUGUAUGGCUCAAUACCUUACCCAGCCUUUAAAAAACAAUUUUUUUUUAGAGACAGAGUCUCAUUAUGUUGCCUAGGCUGGAGUGCUGUGGCUAUUCACAGGUGUGAUCAUCAUGCAAUACAGCCUCGAACUCUUGGGCUCAAGUGAUCCUCCUGCCUCAGCCUCCUGAGUAGUUGGGAUUACAGGCACGAGCUACUGCUCCUGGCCUAACUCAGCCUUUUAUUAGCAGAGUUAGAGGCAAAGGAAGAACUCAGAAAAACCCUGAAGUAGGCUAACCAGAAUUGCAGUGGUAAAGUUGGAAGCAUCUUGAAAUAACUAAAUGAUGAAGUAUUACUUGCUUAUGAUAAUAAUAGUUAACAUAUACUCUGUGCCAGGCACUGUUUUCAGCACCUUAUGUGUAUUACUUCAUUUAGCCCUUAUCAACCCUGUGAGUUAUUAUUUCCAUUUUACAGACAAGGAAACUGAGGUAUAGGGAGUUUAAAUCAUUUGCCCCAGGCACCUAGUUAGUUGAGGAGGAGCUGGGAUUCAAACCCUGGCAGUCAAGAGCCUUCCCUACAAGCUGAUAGAAGGAUAAAUGUGGGCUCUAAAAUGCCCCUCCCCAUCCAGCCCCAACACACCGCUGAAGCAUGCUUGUUAAAAGUUUCUCUGCUGUCCUUCCAGAAAUGCUCUCUGCAUACACAGUUUGCUUUUGCUAAUGGGAUUCUCCUCUAUUGUUCUGCAACUUGUUUGUUUUCAACUUAACAUACUUUGGAUGUCCUGGAAAAGAGCUCUUAACAUUACCUGCUGUCUUCAUUUUAAGGAUGAAAAAACUCUGAGGCCUAGAGAGGUUAAGUGAUGUGUCACACUGGAUCUCUUAACAGUUUUGGGUCAGCAACCUUCAGUAGCCUCCUGUUCUGCCUCAAAAUUUAUUUUGACAGCUGACCUCCCUGGGUGCUAACUUCUCUCAUGUUCAGGGCCCUUAAUUAUGUUGUUUCACAAGGGCAGUGUUCUAUGAUGGCCACCAACCCACCUUUUCCCUUUCUUCAUCUCUAUAUUCUAUUUAUCCAAAAUCUUGCUUUGAAUUAGGUAACAACGGAUAGAAAUGAGUUGAUAAGAUAAGCAAGGUUUCCCAAACUUCAAGCAUUCUGGUAUAAGAUUCAUGAUUUUUGUCAUCUUCUCAUACCACCUGUGUUAUUUAUUUAAUAUUUUUUAUUAAGUCAGUUCACUAUAGCCCACACUUUUGGGGAAACAUGGAUAAAUGAAUCCUGCUAUGUAAGCCAGAUUGGAGGUUCUCAAACUUACCCAUGUGAAGGACCAACUUUUUUUUUGUUUUUUGUUUUUUUGCGACAGAGUCUUGCUCUAUCACCCAGGCUGGAGUGCAGUAGUGCAAUCACAGCUCACUGCAGCCUUGACCUCCUGGGCUCAAACAAUCCUCCCAUCUCUGCCUCCAGAGUAGCUGGGACUAUAAGCACGCACCGCCAUGUCUGGCUGGCUAAUUUUUAACAUUUUUUUUGUAGAUAUGGGGGUCUCGCCAUGUUGCCCAGGCUGGUCUCGAACUCCUGGGCUCAAGUUAUCCUUCCAAAGUGCACGCCUGGCCAAGGACCAGUCUUUUGAAAAAUAUUUUCAUCAGGAACUGACGCUUUUGUAAAAUAACAAUGAAUUAUUAGAAAAAUGAAUUAGUUUUUUAAAAAAGACACACAACAUCCAAUCUUAGAAACAGAAAACUACUGUCAAAUUGCUAGAAAUGCUUCUAAAUGCUUACUUUCAACUUUUGUCCUCAUCACUUUGGGGACUCUUAAAAAGCAGUUGGAAGGCCACACUCUGAGUAACAAUAAGCUAAUUAAUAGGCAGUUCUUCUCACUAGGUUUCAACCUCAGAUGAGUUAUAUAAAUGUGUCUCAUGGAAACCUGGGGCAAGAAACUUUCUCUCCAAGCCUCAGUUUCCCCAUGUGAAAAUGGUGAAAAUGAAGGAACCAUCAGUGUGAGGCUCCUCCUCAGUGAAGGCUUCACAAGCUGGAGAGGGCUUUGUAACAGAGCGUAUCUUGGGGCCUUUCCAUAUGACCAAGUGGAGAGUUGCCAAAUUCCUGAAGAGGGCACACUAACUUCCCCAAAGAGGUCUAUCAAAGGAGCAGGAUGAGCCGGGCACAGUGGCUCACGCCUGUAAUCCCAGCACUUUGGGAGGCCGAGGUGGGUGGAUCAACUGAGGUUAGGAGUUCAAGACAAGCCUGGCCAACAUGGUGAAACCCCGUCCAUACUAAAAAUACAAAAAUUAGCUGGGCAUGGUGGUGCUUGCCUUUAGUCCCAGCUACUUGGGAGGCUGAGGCAGGAGAAUCACUUGAACGGGAGGUGGAAGUUGCGGUGAGCUGAGAUCGUGCCAUUGCACUCCAGCCUGGGUGACAGAGCGAGACUCAAAAAAAAAAAAAAGACCAGGAUGAAUCCACUGAAGAAAUUCUUUCAGGAAAUAAACAUCUAAAUGCCUAAAUGCAAGUAUAGAUUUAAAGGAGGAUGUGAAUGUGUAUGGCAGAGGUGGUGGAGGGAGAUAUUUGUCAAAAACAGAUUGGGAAGAAGAGGGGAAAAGGCAGAAAAAAAGAAAGGAGUGAGACCGGAAGACACUUUAAUGGAAUGCACUGCAGGCAGAGACCUGGGUUUCUAGACCGUCCAGCCCAGAAGUUAAAGGCCAGACAUUGAGUUCAUCUGAAUGAAAACAGUGCACACUGGUCUCAGAACUGAUCCUGCAAACCCUAUCUUGGGCCAGCACAUGUCCCUGCGCAGAUGCGGCAGAAAACACCUCAUCAGCCACAUUCCACCCUUGUACUAUCCAUCACACGAGACCUUAAACAAACAAAACCCUUCGUGUUGUUUGUAUUUGCUGGGUUUCAGGAUUUGGCUUACCCUGGGCACUGGGAAAGCCUGUUGUAUCACAUGUGAGCCAGAAUGCAAACACAUUUAAUACAAACACAUGCACGCCAGGUUUUGGCUUCAUUUGGCUUGCUUUAUGCAUAGAAAGUGUUUGGGGAGGAGACACUCACCAGUGCAAACGUCGGGGGCGGCGGGGGUGCUGGAGGGGGAGGGACAGGCAUCUUGGGCAGUUAUGCGUUCAACAGUCUUGCUGAUAAAUCUGGAAAAACAAGAAUGCGAUCAUGUAUUAGAUGUAAUCUUAGUAAUACUGUCCUAAUCUGUCUUCACUUUCCCACCAAAGUGACAGCUCCACCUAGCUCAACUCUUAGAAGAGAUGGGCUUACCUUUACACCUCACUGCUAAAACAUUACUGUUCUGGAAGGAUCCCGGCAGAGGGGCUUCUGACCCGAGGUGCUUGGAGAGAAUGGAGGCCACAUCCAGUGCCUUACUCGGCUCCAUUCCCCCACCCACUACAGUAGGCCAUGACCGACCCAGGUGGGCCCAGUUAAGCAGGAAGGUCUCACACAACUGCUAGGAUGUAUCCUGGCCAAGUUUCACUGAAAACAAAUUCACUUCAAGUGGCUUCUCCUCUUCGCUAAUUUCCAUGACAAUCCUUUCAUGCUCUCCCACCCCCUCUGGCUUUCUCCUCCCAUUCUUCCUGACAUUCGCCAAGUCUGUGUGUGCACUGCAGGAAUAUGAAAAUGAAUCUACUUCUAGUCCCGCCCUCAAAGUUCCUAGUCCUCCAGGGAGAGGGCAUGGAGAAUGUCAGGUGGAAAGCAGGGAGCAGCAGCUGAGGCGGGGUGGACGUGUGGGGGGUCAACCUUAUGUUUGGAGCACUCAAAGACCAGCCAUCCCUAUCUCUGUGCUCCUUAGCAUUUCCUCAGAGGAUCUAAGCGAAAACAGAGCGGGCAUGAGAAGUCAGACCUAGGACUCCCAGGCUGUUUACCAGAAAUGCAUUUCAUUUAGAAGAGCCUGUCUUAGCUUUGUUUGGGUAAAAAAUUAUAUAUAAAUAAAAUAAAAAAGAAGAGCCUUUCUGCAGAGUGUGCUUGCUCUGAAAACAAAGGGAAGACCAGAUUCCGUAGCUGGGUAGGAAAGUUUAGGGACCCCAGGUGGGUGAGGGGGCAGGGCGGAGAGGGCAGCCUGGCAAACACCAGGGCCAGGAGAGACGAUGGCCAGGAAGUGCCUGGUGAGUUACACCAGCCAGGAGCCCUCUCCCCAUUUCCUCUAAUCCUUGCAGUCCUGUUCCUUCGCCUCACUAGAACCCCUGCUCCCUCUGCCCUGUCUAGGACAACGCCUCACCCACUGUUCUCAUCCCUAAGCAAUGCCAGCUUCUCCCACCCCAUCCUUGCUACACAAACUGUGGUCCUGGAUAGGCAGCGUGGGCACCACCCAGAAGCUGUUAGAAAUGUCAACUCCCAGUCCCUUUUGCCCCCAGCUGAAUUCGUUUCAGCAUUUUAACAAGAUCCCUGGGUGAUUCAUACGCACUAAAGCCCUAUGUAGAGAUCGAGCCUUAAGCCAGCGGGCAGUCUGGGUCACUGGCCACCUGAAUAACAUUAUUUCUACAGGACAUGUGUCCCAAAUUUUAAACUGCAGAAUUAUAUUUCUUUAAAAAAUUUUUUUAAAUUUUUUUUUGGAGAUGAGGUCUUGCUCUGUCACACAGGCUGGAAUGCAGUGGCAUAAUCAUAGCUUACUGUUGCCUCAAAUUCCUGGGCCUAAGCAAUCCUCCUGCCUCACUCCUGAGUAGCUUAGCUAGGACUGCAGGCAUAUGCCACCACGCCUGGCUAAUUUAUUUUUAUCUUUUAUUUUUGUUGUGAUGGGUCUUGCUAUGUUGCCCAGGCUAGUUUUGAACUCCUGGCCUCAUGCGAUCCUCCUGCCUUAGCCUCCCAUAGUGCUGGGAUUACAGGUGUGAGCCACUGUGUCAGGCUUUUUAAACUCCCAAUAGUCCCUUAAUUGCAAAAAACAAUUUCUUAGAAUUUAAAAUAUUCAUUUAGUUCAACCACUACAAGUUAAUGUGGAAAACUGAAACCUAAACAAAUACUUUCUAUUGAGAUAAUGCUAAAUGGCUUGCUUUCUGUGAACAGAAAUGGACUGGAGAAGCUAAAAAAGACACUGCUGGACUUGUCACAGCCGCCGGGAAACAAGAAUUAAGACAGUUCGGAAGAGUCCCAUUCAAAGUGGGCGGUCUAGAAAAUGAAAAUUUUAAAUUCCACAGCAGCAACAGCAGCUCUCAUGUAUGGAGAAUCUGCUGGAUCCAGGGCUCUAUCCUUGCGUGGUCUCUGACUCCUAAGACAGCGGAAGCCAGCAUCGCUAAAUUAAAUCACUCCCUAAAACACCCUGAAGCAAUUCAUUCAGUCAUGUCCUUUUGCUUCCUGCUCUUCUGCUGGAUAACACUGCCUCACUCACUCACUGCCCUUUUAAUGGUCUGAUAAACACUUUCAGGCAGGCGAAUUAGUGCCACAGCUCACCUGUUAACUAGGCUGGAAUCUGUUUUCAGUAAGAGACUGUCUCAGGCAAGGAUUCUUUUAAAGUCUGUUUCUUAAAUUGCUCUUUCUGGCAUGACAUCAAUUAGUCACCCAUAGGGCCACAUGGGCAUUGUGAGCAGGACUGGGUGCCUGUGUUAGGGGGUCCUCCAUCAAGGGGCAUCUCCAGCGGCACAUUCAGAGGCCUUGGAGUCAGACGUCUCCUAGGACCAGCAGGAACGAAAGGGAUCUGAUUCAGGCCUGACUACUGCGAAAGAUGCUGGAGCCAAAUCAAUGGUAUGAUCAGAGUUGGGAAAGGCUUACCAAGGAAGGGGGAUAGCCUGGUCUGCCCGGUGGGCCCAAGAGAUGGGCUGUGGGAACAGUGCAUCCACGUGCUUGGUUGAUGAAAAAUCCCUCAAGACUAUUUUGUCUGACUCCACGUUCACCGAUUAACUUUCUGUCAUUCUGUGAUCCUAAUAUCUAGGAAAGGGUGGAUAUUCUGGUCAACUAACAGGAACCUCUUAUGGGUAUGGUUGUCAUGAGUUCGGCUCUCGUAACAGAGAUCAAAUUGAACUUCUGUCCUGCACAGCUUAGGGGGCAGACUGUGGAAUGGGGACCCUUUCAGGGGCUGCCACCCUGAAAGGCCUCCUUAAUUAUUUUACAAUUCUCUGUUGCUGCUGUUUUAGUACUGUCUGUGCACUAACUGACUUGUAUAUUAACUUCUGGAUGACAGCUCCAGGGAGGGCGUGUUAACUUCAUGGUCCAGAGGGCUAGUGUGGGAGAAAUGGCAACAGUCAUGGCUGGGGCCAGAGCCAAGGCCAGAUUGCAGAAAUUAGCAGGCAAAAACAAGGUUCAGGGAGCAAGAUGCUAUUAAAGGGUCUGAGGUAUUGAAAGAAGUGCUGCCUUUCCUUCCUGGCCACUUCAGAUGGACAGUGGGGAGAGGGUCUACGGGUGAGGGCUCUCACUUUUUAGAGGGUGAUGCAGAACUAAGUGCUCUUUCCUCUCUUCCUCUGCGAACUUGUUUGCAUGGCUUGCUUUCCCUGGCCCCAUCCCAGACUCCAAUACUGCCACCUCACUCAGCCCCUGGAUCAAAGACCAAGCUCGUGUGCCCCAACACUGGGCCCACCGGCCACACCAGGCCCACUUCUUGGCUGUCUUUCCACCAGCCUAUGGACUCCAUGGGGUCUUGCCAAUACCUGGCACAAAGUAGGGUUCUUACUAAAUAUAUAUGCAGUGAAAGAACUGUGUAUCACACAAACAAGCCGAGUGCUUGCCACUUGAAGGGCUCCCAGCAUCACCCCACCGCACUGUGAGAUCUGGGCAAAAGAAUCAGCCCUAUUUCAGAGGGGCUUGCUAGUGUUGCAGACUGGAACUUACUUUCCUGGCAGCCUCCAACUUCCCCAGAGAAGUAGAGCCCCAAGGCCCUGGGAGAGGAGGGCUUCCCUCCUCUCAUGGACUUGACAGCCCACAUCAGAGCCACAGCCAGAUCUUACUGAAGGCCUUGGCCCUAGAGCACGGAUCCUAACAGACCAGGCAUUCCUGCCUGGAUCCUCACACCCAGAGUCUGUGGAUAGAAUUCAAGGGUUCAUGAACUUGUAUGAAAAAAAAGUACAUAUUAUUUCUACUAAGCACUAACUGAAAUGUAGCAUUUCCUUUGAUUAUGAAUGCAGGCCACAAACCAUAAUAUCUGAUAUUCUUUCACCCAUAGUUUUCACGUGAUAUUUCACAUCAUAUUACAACUACACACCAACAAUUUUCAACAUGCUGGCAACGUUUAGAUCCAUUGCUAGAUCUUGUUGUUUAAACCAUUAAUAAAGAAGUACAUAUUUUAAUAAAUUAGUUUCCUUUGUAAUUCUCUGUAUUUUAUUUUAUGCAUUUAAACGUAGACACAAAAGGGUCCCUUUGGGACUGGGAGUGGUGACUUAUGCCUAUAAUCCCAACACUUUGGGUGGUCAAGGUGGGAGGACUGCUUGAGCCCAGGAGUUUAAGACUAGCUUGGGCUACAAAGUGAGCCCUUUAUCUCU
RNAcentral lists this long non-coding RNA (42599 nucleotides) under Homo sapiens (human). RNAcentral's name for it is "HSALNT0307287". Lineage: Eukaryota; Metazoa; Chordata; Mammalia; Primates; Hominidae. The record is from RNAcentral.